GGCGGCACCGGCAGCAACAUGAAACAGGCCCUGGCAUGAACAGAGAAGUUUUGCUUUAUAAAUUCCCAUCAAUUGAGGAAGAAAUAAUUAAAAUUAUUGCUGAGAUAAACUAGGUUAAUUUUAAAUAACUGAAUAAUUGUCGAAUCUGAAAUGAGCAUGGUGUGAAUUUUCAAGGUAUUUUUAAAAUAAAUCAGGAAUUUACAGUCUACAAUAUACGAUUCUAUCCUCAAUGGCUUGUGGUGUCACGUACUUGAAAGAUAAGGGCAAAAGUAAAAAAGGGUAUCUUAAAGGACACAGAAUUCUUCAUAUUCAGACAUUUUAGAACUCGGUCUAUUUUUACGGUUAUUUUUCACAUUUUCUGAAUGGAAAUUUAACUUGAAAGUAGGGAUCUCCGAGGGCUAUUUAGUUUUGAAAGAAUCUCCUUAAAGCUUGUUUAAUUGCGAUAUAAGGAAACUGGAAAUCAUGGAGUUGAAAAUAAUUAUUAAGUUGUUUAAUCAGUCUAUAAAUUGAUUUAUUUAAAUCACAACAAAUCCUUAAAUAGAAGGCUAUAUGAGAUCACAGUAAUUUAGAUCAAUCAUGUGUACAAACAAUUUAAUAAAGUACUAAAGAUUCAUA
Leptopilina boulardi is the source of this 615-nucleotide long non-coding RNA. RefSeq lists it as uncharacterized. The record is from RefSeq and is a predicted model, not a curated record. The transcript is spliced from 3 exons. Lineage: Eukaryota; Metazoa; Arthropoda; Insecta; Hymenoptera; Figitidae.